CUACGGGUUGCACCAGUGGGGAAUAUUGCACAAUGGGCGCAAGCCUGAUGCAGCCAUGCCGCGUGUAUGAAGAAGGCCUUCGGGUUGUAAAGUACUUUCAGCGGGGAGGAAGGGAGUAAAGUUAAUACCUUUGCUCAUUGACGUUACCCGCAGAAGAAGCACCGGCUAACUCCGUGCCAGCAGCCGCGGUAAUACGGAGGGUGCAAGCGUUAAUCGGAAUUACUGGGCGUAAAGCGCACGCAGGCGGUUUGUUAAGUCAGAUGUGAAAUCCCCGGGCUCAACCUGGGAACUGCAUCUGAUACUGGCAAGCUAGAGUCUCGUAGAGGGGGGUAGAAUUCCAGGUGUAGCGGUGAAAUGCGUGGAGAUCUGGAGGAAUACCGGUGGCGAAGGCGGCCCCCUGGACGAAGACUGACGCUCAGGUGCGAAAGCGUGGGGAGCAAACAGGAUUAGAUACCCGGGCAGUC
This 464-nucleotide ribosomal RNA is filed under the name uncultured bacterium. RNAcentral's name for it is "partial 16S ribosomal RNA". It matches the Rfam family "Bacterial small subunit ribosomal RNA", at positions 339 to 795 of the family's 1533-position model. The record is from RNAcentral.